RNAcentral lists this ribosomal RNA (465 nucleotides) under Gyraulus sp. clade B TS-2018. Its description in RNAcentral is "partial 16S ribosomal RNA". It matches the Rfam family "Bacterial large subunit ribosomal RNA", at positions 1796 to 2620 of the family's 2925-position model. The record is from RNAcentral. Lineage: Eukaryota; Metazoa; Mollusca; Gastropoda; Planorbidae.
UCGCCUGUUUAUCAAAAACAUAGUUUUAUGAUAUUUAUAUAAAAUAACUUCUGCCCAGUGUCUAAAAAGAUAAAUGGCCGCAGUACCUUGACUGUGCUAAGGUAGCAUAAUCAAUUGGCUUUUAAUUGAAGUCUAGAAUGAAUGGGAAAAUGGAAUUUAGCUGUCUUAAUUUUUUUAAUUAAAAUUUAUUUAUAAGGUGAAAAUACCUUAAAAUUAAAUAAAGACGAGAAGACCCUAUGAAUUUUUAAAUGUAUUUUUGUUGGGGCGACAGUUUAAAAAAUAAUCUUAAAUUUAUAACAUAUAACGAAUUUUUUAAUAAAAAUUAAAUUACCUUAGGGAUAACAGCAUUAUUAUUAAAAUAGUUUGUGACCUCGAUGUUGGACUAGGAACUAAAAGGCUAACCGUCUUUAUAGGAUUUGUUCUGUUCGAACAAUUUAAUCCUACGUGAUCUGAGUUCAGACCGGA